UACGAAGGGGGCUAGCGUUGCUCGGAAUUACUGGGCGUAAAGCGCACGUAGGCGGCUCUUUAAGUCAGGGGUGAAAUCCUGGAGCUCAACUCCAGAACUGCCUUUGAUACUGAGAAGCUUGAGUUCGGGAGAGGUGAGUGGAACUGCGAGUGUAGAGGUGAAAUUCGUAGAUAUUCGCAAGAACACCAGUGGCGAAGGCGGCUCACUGGCCCGAUACUGACGCUGAGGUGCGAAAGCGUGGGGAGCAAACAGG
Molecule: ribosomal RNA, 253 nt
Filed under: uncultured bacterium
Lineage: Bacteria
Description: partial 16S ribosomal RNA
Rfam family: Bacterial small subunit ribosomal RNA
Source: RNAcentral